AAACCAUUUUUGAAAAUCUAUUAUGCAUUUGUAGUUUUUGAAACAUAAACAUAGUCAUUACAAGUCGUUUAAAGAACUUUAAAAACCCUUGUAAAACCAUUUUUCAAAGUCAUUACAAGUCGUUUUAAGACUUUAAAAACCCUUGUAAAACACAGUCAUUACUCCAUAAUCCUUUUUAAAGACCGUUUUGAAACCAUUCCAAAAACAAAAUUUUAAUCCUUUUCAAAGAACAUAGCCGCUGAAAAUAGAAAAAAAAAAACCUUUUCCAAACCAACUCCAAUCAACUGGUAACCCAUAAAUUAAGUGAGGAUCUAUAAAUUAAAACACAAACCCAAACAUCAAUCUAUUUACUGUUGAAGUUUCCAAACGAAAAAACUUUGAAAUUGCUACAACAGAGAAGUUAAUCGGCAUUUGAAAUCUUCUUUGAAGGUUUUUGAAACCCAAACAUCAAACUUUAAAACAUAAAUCUAUCAA
Molecule: small RNA, 474 nt
Filed under: Arabidopsis thaliana (thale cress)
Lineage: Eukaryota; Viridiplantae; Streptophyta; Magnoliopsida; Brassicales; Brassicaceae
Description: ATSL082910
Source: RNAcentral